CGACGGUGAAGCCCAGCUUGCUGGGUGGAUCAGUGGCGAACGGGUGAGUAACACGUGAGCAACCUGCCCCUGACUCUGGGAUAAGCGCUGGAAACGGCGUCUAAUACUGGAUACGAGCAAGAACCGCAUGGUUACUUGUUGGAAAGAUUUUUUGGUUGGGGAUGGGCUCGCGGCCUAUCAGCUUGUUGGUGAGGUAAUGGCUCACCAAGGCGUCGACGGGUAGCCGGCCUGAGAGGGUGACCGGCCACACUGGGACUGAGACACGGCCCAGACUCCUACGGGAGGCAGCAGUGGGGAAUAUUGCACAAUGGGCGGAAGCCUGAUGCAGCAACGCCGCGUGAGGGAUGACGGCCUUCGGGUUGUAAACCUCUUUUAGCAAGGAAGAAGCGAAAGUGACGGUACUUGCAGAAAAAGCGCCGGCUAACUACGUGCCAGCAGCCGCGGUAAUACGUAGGGCGCAAGCGUUAUCCGGAAUUAUUGGGCGUAAAGAGCUCGUAGGCGGUUUGUCGCGUCUGCUGUGAAAUCCCGAGGCUCAACCUCGGGCCUGCAGUGGGUACGGGCAGACUAGAGUGCGGUAGGGGAGAUUGGAAUUCCUGGUGUAGCGGUGGAAUGCGCAGAUAUCAGGAGGAACACCGAUGGCGAAGGCAGAUCUCUGGGCCGUAACUGACGCUGAGGAGCGAAAGGGUGGGGAGCAAACAGGCUUAGA
RNAcentral lists this ribosomal RNA (706 nucleotides) under Microbacterium sp. Its description in RNAcentral is "bacterial SSU rRNA". It matches the Rfam family "Bacterial small subunit ribosomal RNA", at positions 64 to 782 of the family's 1533-position model. Lineage: Bacteria; Bacillati; Actinomycetota; Actinomycetes; Micrococcales; Microbacteriaceae. The record is from RNAcentral.